This 465-nucleotide ribosomal RNA is filed under the name Vreelandella stevensii. RNAcentral's name for it is "partial 16S ribosomal RNA". It matches the Rfam family "Bacterial small subunit ribosomal RNA", at positions 338 to 795 of the family's 1533-position model. The record is from RNAcentral. Lineage: Bacteria; Pseudomonadati; Pseudomonadota; Gammaproteobacteria; Oceanospirillales; Halomonadaceae.
CCUACGGGAGGCUGCAGUGGGGAAUAUUGGACAAUGGGCGAAAGCCUGAUCCAGCCAUGCCGCGUGUGUGAAGAAGGCCUUCGGGUUGUAAAGCACUUUCAGUGGGGAAGAAAGCCUUGGGGCUAAUACCCUCGAGGAAGGACAUCACCCACAGAAGAAGCACCGGCUAACUCCGUGCCAGCAGCCGCGGUAAUACGGAGGGUGCGAGCGUUAAUCGGAAUUACUGGGCGUAAAGCGCGCGUAGGCGGUCUGAUAAGCCGGUUGUGAAAGCCCCGGGCUCAACCUGGGAACGGCAUCCGGAACUGUCAGGCUAGAGUGCAGGAGAGGAAGGUAGAAUUCCCGGUGUAGCGGUGAAAUGCGUAGAGAUCGGGAGGAAUACCAGUGGCGAAGGCAGCCUUCUGGACUGACACUGACGCUGAGGUGCGAAAGCGUGGGUAGCAAACAGGAUUAGAUACCCUUGUAGUC